This 265-nucleotide ribosomal RNA is filed under the name uncultured bacterium. Its description in RNAcentral is "partial 16S ribosomal RNA". The record is from RNAcentral.
CUGCUGCCUUCCGUAGGAGUCUGGUCCGUGUCUCAGUACCAGUGUGGGGGACCUUCCUCUCAGAACCCCUAUCCAUCGUGGACUUGGUGAGCCGUUACCUCACCAACUAUCUAAUGGAACGCAUGCCCAUCUAUCAGCGAUAAUUCUUUAACAAAUAUUUCCAUGUGGAACCCCUGUUUUAUGCGGUAUUAGUCCGACUUUCGCCGGGUUAUUCCCCUCCUGAUAGGUAGGUUGCAUACGCGUUACUCACCCGUGCGCCGGUCCG